This 488-nucleotide ribosomal RNA is filed under the name Klebsiella pneumoniae. RNAcentral describes it as "partial 23S ribosomal RNA". It matches the Rfam family "Bacterial large subunit ribosomal RNA", at positions 396 to 888 of the family's 2925-position model. The record is from RNAcentral. Lineage: Bacteria; Pseudomonadati; Pseudomonadota; Gammaproteobacteria; Enterobacterales; Enterobacteriaceae.
GCUGUGAACUCGAAGAGUAGGGCGGGACACGUGGUAUCCUGUCUGAAUAUGGGGGGACCAUCCUCCAAGGCUAAAUACUCCUGACUGACCGAUAGUGAACCAGUACCGUGAGGGAAAGGCGAAAAGAACCCCGGCGAGGGGAGUGAAAAAGAACCUGAAACCGUGUACGUACAAGCAGUGGGAGCACCUUCGGGUGUGACUGCGUACCUUUUGUAUAAUGGGUCAGCGACUUAUAUUCUGUAGCAAGGUUAACCGUAUAGGGGAGCCGCAGGGAAACCGAGUCUUAACUGGGCGUUAAGUUGCAGGGUAUAGACCCGAAACCCGGUGAUCUAGCCAUGGGCAGGUUGAAGGUUGGGUAACACUAACUGGAGGACCGAACCGACUAAUGUUGAAAAAUUAGCGGAUGACUUGUGGCUGGGGGUGAAAGGCCAAUCAAACCGGGAGAUAGCUGGUUCUCCCCGAAAGCUAUUUAGGUAGCGCCUCGUGAA